AGUGAACGCUGGCGGCAGGCCUAAUACAUGCAAGUCGAACGGCAGCACAGCAGAGCUUGCUCUGUGGGUGGCGAGUGGCGGACGGGUGAGGAAUACAUGGGAAUCUGCCCAGUCGUGGGGGAUAACGUAUGGAAACGUACGCUAAUACCGCAUGCGCCCUUUGGUGGAAAGCCGGGGACCUUCGGGCCUGGCGCGAUUGGAUGAGCCCAUGUUCGAUUAGCUAGUUGGCGGGGUAAAGGCCCACCAAGGCGACGAUCGAUAGCUGGUCUGAGAGGAUGAUCAGCCACACUGGGACUGAGACACGGCCCAGACUCCUACGGGAGGCAGCAGUAGGGAAUAUUGGACAAUGGGCGCAAGCCUGAUCCAGCCAUGCCGCGUGAGUGAAGAAGGCCCUCGGGUUGUAAAGCUCUUUUGUCCGGAAAGAAAAGCAUUCGGUUAAUACCCGGGUGUUCUGACGGUACCGGAAGAAUAAGCACCGGCUAACUUCGUG
RNAcentral lists this ribosomal RNA (490 nucleotides) under uncultured bacterium. RNAcentral describes it as "partial 16S ribosomal RNA". It matches the Rfam family "Bacterial small subunit ribosomal RNA", at positions 29 to 507 of the family's 1533-position model. The record is from RNAcentral.